GCCCUUCGAGGUGCUGCCGUCGCCGCCCGACCUGCGCCUUCGCGCCACUUCGCGCCCUCGGGCGAGGCCGAGGGGGUGGGGACGACCCCCGCCGCGUAGCCGCGGCUCUCGCUCCUCGCGAAGCCCCUUGGCGGGGCGGGCCGGCCGGCCGGCCGCACCCCCGGCCUGGGGCCUCCGGUCGUAGUAAAGCGGAGGCGGGUGGGGAGGCGGGAGCGAGAGCCCGCGGCGGGCGAGGCGAAGAUGGUGGCGGCUACUCCUCCUGUCAUACACGUGGACCUAACUGCACCAAAAGCUUUUCUAAGGACACUUGGCUGAGAAGAAAGUUUUCCCUAGUGGGUAAGUGUGUUCUAAUUUUUUUGUUAACUUUUCUUUAAAACAAUUUUUUUUUACUUUAAUCUUUUAUUUCAGUAAAUAGAUUGGGUUUUCAAAGAGUGAAAUAGGUAUCUUGUACUUUGUCCAUUUACCUUUUCUAGGAAAUUAACUCAGUGUGGGUCAGCUAAUUUUUAAGUUAGUAAGAGUACAAUGCAAAUACCAUAUAAGUUUUUGGAAAUUGAUGUACGGUUUACAAAAUGUAAUUUUAAAACUGCUUUAAGUUGAGUGAUAGAUCUGUUUUGGAGUAAGUUUUCAAGAUUCAAAGAAAUUUAAACAGGAUGUUUAAGUUCUAUAACCAGCUAAUACACUUGAAAUGUAGUCUGAACAGUAAUUUUGUUAAUUUGCUAAGUAUUUGCUAAUUGGAAGCCAGAAGAAAAGAAAAAUGUUUUGCCACGUGGAUGUGAAGAAUCCCUCUAAAAGGUACAUGAAUCAAAUUGCCCUGUUCAUCUAUUAAUUCUCAUUCAUAUGCAGUCUUAUCUUGAUUGAUUGAAAAAAAAAAUUUUUUUGAGUAUGUCUGGGAACCUCCAGGUAAAAGAAGAGCCAUCAGUUUCUCUGACAGUAUUAGAUUGAUGGUUAAGAUUGUCUUGUGAAAAAGAUUUUUCUAAUACUUUUAAGGUCUAAGUGUGCUUGUGAAUGAAACUUACAGGUUUGAGAUAAUUAAAUUCAUUUUCUCUUCCCCAUUAGGGACUAUGCUGAAUUUUGUAUGUUUUAUAGCUCUUAAGAGUUGGAGGUGUUAUUUCUAAUUAUUUAUUUCAAAUUUAGCAGGAAUAAAGAGACCAUCACCUUGUAAGACUGAAGAUUGUGACCAGUCAGAAUAAUGUCAAAGUGCUUACAGUGCAGGUAGUGAUAUGUGCAUCUACUGCAGUGAAGGCACUUGUAGCAUUAUGGUGACAGCUGCCUCGGGAAGCCAAGGUGGGCUUGAAAGUGCAGGGCCUGCUGGUGUUGAGUGCUUUUUGUUCUAAGGUGCAUCUAGUGCAGAUAGUGAAGUAGAUUAGCAUCUACUGCCCUAAGUGCUCCUUCUGGCAUAAGAAGUUAUGUUUUCAUCCAAUAAUCCAAGCCAAGCAAGUAUAUAGGUGUUUUAAUACUUUUUGUUUGCAGUCCUCUGUUAGUUUUGCAUAGUUGCACUACAAGAAGAAUGUAGUUGUGCAAAUCUAUGCAAAACUGAUGGUGGCCUGCUAUUUCCUUCAAGUGAUUUUUUUUUUUUUUUUUUUUACUAAUUUUGUGUACUUUUAUUGUGUCGAUGUAGAAUCUGCCUGGUGUAUGUGAUGUGACAGCUUCUGUAGCACUAAAGUGCUUAUAGUGCAGGUAGUGUUUAGUUAUCUACUGCAUUAUGAGCACUUAAAGUACUGCGAGCUGUAGAACUCCAGCUCCGGCCUGUCGCCCAGUCAAACUAUCCAGUUACUGAACACUGUUCUAUGGUUAGUUUUGCAGGUUUGCAUCCAGCUGUGUGAUAUUCUGCUGUGCAAAUCCAUGCAAAACUGACUGUGGUAGUGAAAAGUCUGUAGAAAAGUAAGGGAAAAUCAAACCCCUUUCUACACAGGUUGGGAUCGGUUGCAAUGCUGUGUUUCUGUAUGGUAUUGCACUUGUCCCGGCCUGUUGAGUUUGGUGGGGAUUGUGACCAGAAGAUUUUGAAAAUUAAGUAUUACUGAAGAUUCGACUUCCACUUUAAUAUGUUCCAGAAAUGUAAAGUAUUAAAAAAAGCUUUGUAAUUUUAAUUUUUUUGUCAGUGUGAAGUUCAUAGAUACAACUCUUUGUUCUUUAAAAUGAAGUUUUGUCAUAAUUUUGUGCUAAAAUACUCCACCUCUGAAGUUGCAUGUCAGAUUUGAUUAUAAGUUUUUACUAUAUUCAUCUAAUUAGGUUAAUAUUAAGUAUUUAAUUAUAAUUGUGAGGAAAAUUUAUUUUAAUACUAUGAUAAUUUGUAAAGUUAGGAUAUUUUUGCUUUUCUGGAGCUGGUAUUCACAAUGUCUUAAUCUUAAAGUUAAUAAAUUGUGUUACUUGUACAUUAUUUAAAUUUGGUGAAAGUAUUCUGUUUAUUGCAAUGUAUAAAAAAAGUUGUGGGGUUUGGUUGGUGGUUUUUAAGCAUGUUAACUUACAUUUGGGAGGGGAGGUUGUCUUUUGUUUCUAGUAAACAAAUACUGUUUUACCGGUACUAGUGUUCUUAAUGUGUAAAACUGUUAACUGGUUAUGUACUAGUUUGCUUAGUAAUUUAUGCUGUAUAAACUGUUCCGUGAUCCUUAGACUGUCCUUAGCUUUCUGGAACUUAAAAUAUAGGAGUUAAAAAGAUAAUAAGACACACUGGUGCUAAAUGGAGUGACAAGUAUAUGUGUACAUGUCUCUAAUGCCAAGAGUGUAGUUGGGUGGGAGUCUGAAAUUAGUUUUUCUUUAAGUCUGUACUACUGUUAACAUUCCUUCUCCCUUCAUAAACCAGACUUUUGCAACAAUGAUAGUUAGUCUAGGCUUCCGUGACUUUGUCACUGGAGUGGAACCUUAAGCAAUGGCAGUUACACAGUAUUUUAUCCAAUAUUUCUGCUUCUUUCAUGUGUCUUGUGUCUAGUCUGUGUCUCACCUGUAUAGAAAAAUGUGGGUUAACUUGAGAAUAAUCAGAUUUUAUAGGGUCCGUUGUUAAAAUUGGAUCCAAGCUGAAUUUUGGAGGAAAGCUGUUAUCUUAGUAAUAUGGAGUAAAUUUUCUAUAGCUUAUUAUACCAAUUGGUAAAUUUAGAAGACGUCUUACCUUUUUAAAAUCAAUUACGUAAAGUCUAACAUGGAAAGUUUAAUCAUGGAUCCCUGAAUAGAAAGGUAAGAGUUUCUUAGUUCUGGAGUUGAUUAUUAAAAGGUAAUUUUUCAGAGAGAGAAAAUAUUAAGAAUUAUGCGAUGAUUUAUACAAUGGAGAUGUAAUUGUCUUUUAGUUUGAGUUCCUAAGCCUUUUGAAUUGAAGAAAAUCUUGAAAUGGUUUUGUUUUGAUAUUUAAUGACAAAUACUGCUUUGAACUAAAUGUUCUCAAAGUCCCAUAAUACUAGCAUGGCUGAUCGUAGUCUGUAGAAAUGGGGUGUGAUGGUGAUUAGUGGAAAAAGGUGUUUACAUCUACCAAACCAUAUAAUUUCAUUUUAAAGCUUUUGAGGGGGGAAAUAUACUAGCAUUACUGUUUGAAGUAGAACAGUGAUAGGAAGCUUUUCUACAGGAUUUCUUUAUAUGCUAAACUGUCAGAUUUUAAUAAAACCCUAAAUGGUUAAUUAACUUUUUCUCCCUAGAUGCUUGAACCUUUGUAGUACUUGUUCAGAACUCAAUUGGACUUAACUACACUUCACGUCUAGUAAACAAGUUAAUAGAUGUGAAUGUUUUCUUAUGGGGUUGGCAGUAGGGCUGAGGUUGUCAAGGGUUCACUAGGAAUUGAAUUUUAUGUUUCUGGUUUUAAAAUGUGUGGCAAAGUUUACAUUCUUGAUUCUGUUAAGAUUUUCUUAGACAAGACAGUUGAGUUUUCGAGUAGCGCUAACACAAAGCCAUGCAAAUAUAAUUAGUCAUUUUGAUAUAAAAAUAAGUUGAACACGUUCAUUGUAGCUCCUAAUUGCCUGCCUCUUCUCUAAUUGUCCUGGGGGAGAAAGCUCUAACCUUUUUUGUGUUUCAACCUUAAAAGUGUUUAAGACUUUUAGGGUGCUGUUGCUCCUGGUUUGAUAGCCUUAAGACUAUUUUUAGGAAGAAAUAAGUCUUUAUAUUUUUUUUGCAUAUUCUGCAUGUAUGAUUCUUAGUCUGUGUUAAAAGGAAAGCACUUAACAGCUCUACAAAUUAUUUUUCAAAACUGCUUGCAAAGUGUAGUGAUUUUACUAAAAACUUUUGAGAUCUUCAUUUUACAGGCAAACCUGUCUAAGCAGAACAAGCCAGACUUGGGUUUUCCCCUGUAGCUUGAAGAACCCUACAGAAUGAUUCCUGACAAAAUGCAACCUGCAAUUGCCUGGAGAACAAUUCAGUGUUACAUUCAAGUUAAUUAUGUAUUUAAUGAAAUACUGUUCUGUUAGUAAUUGACAACCAAGAUUGUCUAUCAUUAGAAAAUUAGCCUCUUUUAGCUGAGUAGUAAAGGUAAGGAGAGCAUAAGUAUACAGGCCAGUAUUUCGUGUCCAACUAAAAAUAAGAUUAUCAUGUCUACUUGAGUCUUGGCGGCAGGUUAUUCUUUGCCUGAGAGGUGGUUUAGCUUACACUGUUUUUUAAAAAGUCUGAAUUAAUGUAGCUUUCUGUUGAUAAAUUCAGUUCCUGAUGUAAUAGUCCUCAUGAGUUUUAAAGGAUAACUAAGAUGGAUGUAUCCCAUGAUUUUAAGACCACAGGAAAAUUGUUUAAAAAAAAAAAAAGGCUUAGUUUUCUUUUUCCAGUAAUUUAAACAGGCACAGCAUUCAGACAGGCCUACUUAUAUGUAUGUGCAAUUUAGUCAUGCUGUUUGAGUUGUUUUGGUGCAUUUAAUGUAAAUAAAUAAAAUUACAUAUUUUAAGACUGUUUGUUAAGAAAUUGUCCAGAAUAAGCAUAUUAAAAUAAAAAUUUUAAGGUUGUUUUUAGUUGUGGCACUUUUUCUGGUGUUUUUUGUUACUAUAAAUGAUCCAAACAUCUUUGCUUAUCAAUUUGAGGUAGUUGGGAAGUGGGGACAGGUACUGAAGUGAUUUAUUACAUGAAUUAUUUUAGUUAUCUUUGGCAUCAGCAUUUGUAUCUUAAUUUUACAGAUGAAGUGAGAUCAGGAGUAUUGGAUAUAAAACGUAAAUGGGCUCUUGAUUAAAACCCAUGUCAAAAAUUAGUCUAUAAAAAGUUAUUCUCUUAUCUUGAAUCUGACAAAUGUUUAAAUCACAUUUGAAUUUACUUGAUUUGGAAAUUUGGGUUCUUGGUAUUUUAACUUAAAAUGUGAUAAGGGCUCCAAGAAUAAGUUUGUGUGAUUUUUUUUUUUUUUUUUUUUUUAAUAACAGACCAUAGGCACUUAAAAUCCAGCCAGUUUAGAUAUUAUUAAGUAUGAAGCAUCUUCACUUUGAUCUUUAACCUAUUGAUACAUUGAAGUUUAAGGGGAAACCAAAGUGUGUGAAGUCCUAAACAACUGCUUUUAGUAAAGAUCUAAAUAUUUGGUUAUAAGGUUGAAUGUUUUUUAAUGGAUUUGUACUGUAUUUUUAAAAUAAGAUGAAAAUUAAGGUUUUUAAGAUACUUUGUGGCCAGUAAAGCAACUCUAAAGGCAACAAUCCCAGCCCUGUGCAGUUUUGAGUACUUUGAAAAAUAAUUACAUGCCAAUAUAAAUAUGGGUUUAGUCAUUAAUAGGGCAAGUAUUUAUGGUAUAGAGGUAAAAAACAGAAACCUGAGGUUCGUAGCAAGUGAUGCCAAACCAAAUAUUCAGUGAAGUGUCUCCAUUAUUAAUUGCAUGCCUAAAUUUAAGAAUAUGUACACUUACUGGGAAAUGAGCAUGUAUCUUUACAUGCUUAUUUAUAAAAAGUAUAUACACAAUGAAAUUGCUAUAAUGUAAUGUUGACUUCAAUUAGACUAAGGCAUUGAAAGGUUAAAUUCCACUGAUAGACUUUAAAGGAGUCCUCCUCCUAUACUUGUUUGAGAUAUAAUCUAUGUGGGAAUACCAACAGAUAGGGUAAGCUGGGACUUAAUGUUGGCAAGACUAGAUGAAAAUUAUCUCUAUUCAGGUAGAGUUGUAUGCUGCUUGAACCACUAGGUACCUUACAAGGCCAAUUAAAUUCCUCAACAAAGUCAAGAAUGCAAAGGCCACGUUCAGGGAAUACCACUGCUGGAAUCUAGAGUGGUUAUACAUUUACAAGAUAAGGUUCUUAACCACAGUUGGGCAUUAUAAUUACCCAAAGAUACUUUUCAAAAUACAAAGUCGUAGAACUUUAAUUCAGGUGCAUAAGAAUGAAUCCAGAAAGUGAGUAGAGCUGGAUGCUAGGAAGACAAGCAUUUUGAGGAAUUGGUUAAUUUUGAACUAUGUGUUUUAAGAAUAUACUUACCUAAAUUGUCCAAAAUGAUGAGCCUUAUGAAUGCAGCCGAAGUGGUACUUUGGAAUUUGUGGAGGUGGAAUGCUGAAUAGGAAAAGAGAAUACAUGUUUUGUGUUUCAUAUACUUCGUUUUGUGACUGUUUUGCUUUGCAUAAACUUUUUAGCUAGUGCCAACCUUAAAUCUGCUUCUGAAUCCACAGGCUUUUCCUUUCUCCCAACUUUAUGUAGUAAAUAGUAACCCCUUUCUGCUCCAGUGAUAGGCCAACAGUGUAAUUGUGCUGGACAUGGAUCUCCUUGGAGUUUGAAAUUUGUGGUCACACUGGUCUAUAGGUCAUUCUGGACAAAUGAUUUUCUAGCCCUCCAAAGAAUUGUCCAAUUUGCACCAUCUCAUGUUCUUUGAUAUUUAAAUUUCUAAUUUUAAAUAGAAAGGAUGUAGUUUCUGCCAUGUUCUGAAUAUUUCUGAGCUGAUUCUGCCCUUGCCUGUAUUGUUGAUGAUAGUAUAGAUGAUUUAUUUUAAAAUCUGGAAUGUGAUUAGCCCCCCAGCUCACUCAUUAAUCCUCUGUACAAGACCUUAAACUGGGGUGCCUGGGUGGCUCAGUUGGUUAAGCGACUGCCUUCGGCUCAGGUCAUGAUCCUGGAGUCCCGGGAUUGAGUCCCUCAUCGGGCUCCCUGCCCAGUGGGGAGUCUGCUUCUCCCUCUGACCCUCCCCUCUCUCAUGCUCUCUGUCUCAUUCUCUCUCUCAAAUAAAUAAAUAAAAUCUUAAAAAAAAAAAAAGACCUUAAACUGUUCUGCUUCCACUCAGCUCCCCAGGCUGACUUUUUCUUCAUGGACUUUGCCCUUGUUCUUCCCUUAGCUUGGAAAAACUACCCCCUCAGCUAUGUGAUCUAAUCCUGUUUCUGGUCUGCACAAGUACCAAAUCAAACUAGUUCUUUAAACUGCAUACUCUUCCUUCUCUAGGUCACUUUUCCUAAUAGAGGACUAGUGGUUUCACUUGGGAUCUUGUUAGAAUGCAGGAUCUGAGGACCUUCCCCGAACCUGAAUUAGCAACUUCGCUUUAAAAUCCUGUCCCUACUCCCUUCCUGGAUGUUACGUGAAGGUAGGGAUUUGAAAGUGGUUCAUUGAUGCAUAAUCAACACCUGAAACAGUACUCACUCAGCACAUAGAAGGUACUUAAGUCUUGCAGGAAUGAGUGGAAGUGCCCACAGGUGAAUAUGACUGCUUCAAAGAGACUGGGUCAGUGGAAGUUAACAGAAAACCAAACACCUUGGUCUUUUAUAGUACAUAUGGGACUUAGGAAAGGUGUAAUCAUUGUAAAGUACAUUAGUGAUAAUCUAUCAAAUAUCUGGCAGAAGGGAUUUGAGUAGUGUUGGUGAGUAGGAGACGUAACUAAUUUACAGUAGUAAUCAUCCAGCAAGAAAGCUGGAAGUUGGAAGCUUCAGGAGAAUAGAAAACCUGCCCUUCUAUGUUCCAUUUGUGUGGCAGUGUUUUGGUGCUGUUGGAAGUAAAUGUUGAACUUGACGCCGCUCUCACAAAAUGAGCAACUGACAUUCAGACUACCAGGGUAAAGGGGUGUACUCGCCACACUGGUACCGAGGAAGGUAAGCUUGAUGUGAGGCUGUGUUUAGUGGCAGGUUCUCAACGUGAUUUUGUUGCCUGAAUGAAGUAAGGCUCUAUCUUGUAGUAUCUUCUUUUAUCUCUGUUCUCUGUUCAGUUUCAAACCCCCUCCCCACUUUUUUGGUUAUCAAGCAAUUCAGCAUUCUUAAAAUGUCACAGUGCCUACCAAAAUACCAUAUGGUGUUCUAACUUUUAAGUUUCACUGCUAGCACAAGGUACCAGGAAUACAAAGGCGGCCUACACUGGUAUACUGGGCCUUGAUGAAAUUCGGAAUUGUCUUUGACGCCCUGGGACAAAUCAGUAAAACCAAUACGCCUCAGGAAUAUUCUUUGUGGUGUAAGGAAAGGUUCAUAGUAAAGAAGUUAAGGAAGGAAAACCCGGUACCUUCACAGGUUAAUUUUAGGGAACGAUAUACGGAAAUUACUAUGACAAUUUUUAUUUCCUCAAAACUACACAUCUGUGUAGUUGAACUAGUCUGGGCCCCAGGAAUGUGCAGAGUCCAAUUUGAAGACUGUUAGAAGUCACCACGUGGUACUGGCUAUAGCUGGCUGAGAAAUUUAAGGAACUACUUAAAAAGAGUCCUAGAGAAGUGUUUAAGAGGGAAACUUCCUGGUUCAAGUACCACCUCCCCCCGUUAGUAACUUAGGCAAAUUUGUUUUUAGCUUUUCCGCCUUGAUCAGGAAGAUAAAUAGGUGUCACGGCGGUUAUGGGUUUACAUCCAGCAAAAAAUAAAUGCAUUUGCCCCAACUUCAAAGUGGUUUUAAGCUUUGCUUGGCUUGGACAAGUUUGGGUGUCAGACCCACUUGAAAUAAUAGGAGGGAUAAAAUGUUCAGGCCCGGUCCUUUUGCGACAUCUUUAUCAGCAGCGACAGUGACAGCACGCAGGCUAUCUAGCUGGGUGGUGGGUGGAUAAGGGAAAAAGGAUGGUGACACGACACUGAGGGGGGAGGAAUACGUCCUGGCUGCCGCCAAACAGCGUGAUUUCAGUGAACGGAGGGGUGGGAGAAGGAAGGCAGAGAAUUUUCAGAUAAGCUGACAAUUUGAGCACAUUUCAAAGAGGUAGAUGUUCAUUACCAGGCCUAAGAUGCCUUUCACGUGCAUGUGGCAUGGCUGAUUGAGCUGCUUCUAGGUCUCAUAUUAUGUCACCUGAAGAGGCCUUCAUUACCCUACUUGGGUCUCUCUCACUUGAUAGUUCAAAGCACAGCACAAAUUUUCUUACGGUUCUGUAAGUCAGGGGUCUCAGCACAGGUCUCACUAGGUUAAAAUUAAGGUGUUGGCAGGGCUGUAUUUCUGGAGGCUGUGGGAGAGGAUCCAUUGCCUUUUCCUGCUUCGCAUUCCUUGCUUCACAGACCCUUUCUCCAUCUCCAAUCCAGCAGCCAUGGGUUGAGUUCGCAUGUCACAUUAUUCUGACCUCUGCCAUCAAGUCUCUGACCUCUUGAGGCCUCCCUCUUACACUUUUAAGGACUCUGGUGAUUUAAGGAUAUUCAACCCACCCAGCUAUUCCAAAAUAAUCUAAAGUUAGCUGAUGAGCAGCCUUAACUCUCUUUUACCAUGUAAACUCUUUUGGCAGGUUCCAGGGAUUAGGGCAGGGAUAUUUUGGGGGGUCAUUUUGCCUACUAUGUGUCCCCUUCCUAUGAAAUCAUGUCACUUUUGGACAUGGUUAUAGUCCCAGGCCUGUGUAACUAUUUUGAGAUUUUAUUCAGACUGAGCUUAAGUAAAGUUAAUAGAUUAAGGAAAAUACUUGUUAACAAUUCAAUGAGAAAAAGAAAAACUCAAUGUCUUAAGAAUUUUCCUCUGUGGUAUUUUUUUUUUUUUUUUUUUUUUGGAGAUUUUUAUUUUAUUUGAGAGAGCAUGAGAGAGAGCAUGGUGGGGGAGGGUCAGAAGGGGAAGCAGACUCCCCGCUGAUCCCGGGACUCCGGGAUCAUGACCUGAGCUGAAGGCAGUCGCUUAACCAACUGGGCCACCCAGGUGCCCCAUUCUCCAUGGUAUUUAAAUGUCAGUUUUAAAGAGGUUCAAUGAGAAAAUGAUUAUUCAUAAAUUCAAUAACUACCCCAUUGUCAUUCUUGUCUGAAUAGAACAGAUUUUGUCGAUGAAAAGGGCUCAUAGUAUGUUUCUCACAAACCCAAUUCUAGAAAAAAAUUGAACUGUAUCGGUCUACUAACAUUUAAAGAAGGACCUCCAGAAUGGGGAAGCCAUGAAAUCAAUAUUUGUUAGCCAAUAAAGCAUGUAAAUAUUAAAGAACUGCUUUAAGAAGUGAAGAUACAGUAUGUAAAGCAAAAUUAGCAAAAACUGGGAAAUCAGCCAUUGGAGACAAGUAGAAGGUAAAUAAGCAAUUUAUACUUUGUUAGAGUACAGGAAAAGUUUGAUAUUUUCAUUGCAAAGCAUCUACUAGCAGAAUAAAACAAUAAACUUUGAAAUUACUAGGAAAAGGUACUAAGAACCCACAAAGCAAAACAAAAAGGGAACAAAAGCAAGAGGAUUUUAAUGGAAAUUCACAGAAAAUAUUUUCAAGUAGUUUGUGUUUUGGCUCAAACAGUUAUACUUAAGUUUUAUAACCUGCAAACUUUAUUUGUAGCCAUUGGAAAUGAGGCAGGUAGUGGUUUGGCCAUGUUCAAAGGUAAGUCCUGGCCCUUAAGUGCUCUGGCCCGGCAAUAACAUCUAUUAUAUGUGUGCUCCUUGAAAACAAGCAGAUUCUAUUUUGUAUUUCCCAAAAUGAAUGCAAAAUAGGCAUUCGGUAAGUAUCUGUUGAAAGAAUCGAAGAUUACUUCCAAAUAUUAUUUUACAAUUAGGGUAUUUUCUGAUUCACUGCAGUAGAUUUCCACACCAUCCUUAAAUUCCUCAUCUGAUGUCAAAUUUUGUCCAGAGUCUGAAGAUUAUGCUUACUUUGAUGUAAAGGGUAGAAAGACAGUCUGCAUAUGGCAGCGGGGAGGGGCACUGUAUGUAAAGGAAAAGUUAUCUGUGCGCAUCUACAUGUGAUGUGUAAGCUGACAGGGUGGCUGAAUGGAGUGCAAUCGUUAGCUGGUGGCUUCUGGGAGCUUUACUAGUGGGUCAUAAUGUGACAGGGUUCCGAGCAGAGUUCAAGCAGAAGUAACUCACGCCUGGUUUUCCUGCUUUGUCAUUGAGGCAGUGGGAAAUGGGUCCAUGACAUCAGGACCACUCUUUCUUCUUUACUUUUGGCUACUGCCGUACUCCACCAGAUCAUGUAGUCCUUGGGAAGUAAGCUGCUUAAAGAACUGACAAGUAUUUGUGAAAGUAUAUAUUCAUAACCCUAUCCUACAGGCUAUGUGUCUUCAAGAAGAUUGUCAGUGAUUCUGAGAUAAAUCUCACAUGUGUAAAUCAGAAUUAAUAAAAUGAAGAGGUAACUGAUACUAAAUAAAAGGCUGAGAAAGUAAGUGCUACCUGAGCUCAGAGCGGCAGUGAGUGAUACUGUGUGUGCAUUUGGCACACGUUCUAUCACAUGGGUAAUUAGAAGGGCAGAUCUAAUUUAGUGGACAUAAAUACGGCAAUCCAGUGUUUUACUGGUUUGGUCAUGGGAUGUUGCUCCCUGUUUAAUAUGAAGAAUCUAGUAUUUUACAAAUUUCUCCAGCCAAAGAUGGAAUGUGCAGUUUAGUACCCAGUGAAACCAUUUAGUCAUAAUUGAUUGAUAUUACUGUCAGAGAAUAAAUCUCUGGUUUUCUUGCUUACACAGAAUUUGAGACCUCUCACUACUAGAGAAGUGCUUUACCCUCUUGAAACGGUGAUGGAAUAUUAAAAUAUCAAAGACCCAAAACACACAUUUUUAUUCAUUUUAAAGCCUCAUCCAGCCCUGCUGAUAUUUAGAGCCUGCUGUAAUAUUUUAAUCUUAGGUCUGUCUCCAAAAGGAUGCCAUCCAAAAGUAAUUUUCAUUUUUUGUAUAAGGUUAUUACUUUGUAUUCAUUUGAUUUAUUGAAAAGAAAUUAAGGGACAGUAAUAUAUUUAUACAGUCAUGUAAUUCGACUUUAAAUUAGAGGUUCCAUACACAUUUCCAGUUCUGGAUGAUGAUACAUCUGAAGUAAGGAAGCACUGAUGAACCUUAAAAAUAGCAGGAAAAGAUUAAAGUCAUAGAUAAUUUAGUGAGGUUACAUUGCAGAAAUUAAAUAAGCAUGUUAUAUAAUGCCAUUAUUUUAAAUAGCUGAGAAUGCCUUAGUCUUGAUCUUUGCACACUUUUUUAAAAAUACAAUGAUAAAGACAGCAUGUGCUACUAAAACUCUGAAGAUAAUUUUGAGAUCAGUGAUUGAUUUUUACACGUUACCCAUGUUUUAUUAAGGGCUGCUGACGCUGCUUUGUCUUAAACUCAUCAAAUAAUUGGGCCAAAUUUGAGAAAAUCAAUUUCUACUAAAUAGUUAACCAUAAGGUAUAUUUGUGUUAGCAAACAAAAUGCUUUCAAAAUGUCCCACUUUUGAAACUGUUUGAGUUUUUUAUGUUGACCCAGUAACUGUUUGCAAAGGUAAACCCAAGUGGAGUUAAGCAAUUGCCUGGCGAAUUUGAUCACGGCGACGACCAUAGAGGGUAAGAUGAAUAAACUGAGUUUUAGAAAAUUUACUUCAUGACUGCAGACUUUAACGCAUCCUAGAUCUUUAGGAGGUUUUGUUUCAGGACUAUGCAUUCUUUUCUCCUCUUUCUUCUUCCCUCCCAUCCUCUUUCUCUUCCUCCCCUUUCUUUUUCUCUCCUCCCCUUUUUUCUCUCUCCUUCUCCUUGCCUUCCUUCCCUUCUGUUUUCCUCCCUCCCUUUUCAUCUAUUUAUCAUUUAUCAAUCAUCAGUGAUAAUGCACAUGGUUAAGGGUUUUGUCUAGUAAUCAUUAACCCAUCCUUACAAAAUGUUAAGUAUUUGUGGAGCUAUCAAGGUAAACAAUACAUUUUUAGUUUCAGUUGGAUGUUUUACAUUCAUAUGGAAAACUCAGAGGUAAAAGUAUUAUUUAAAACAGUAGUAUAUUUUGAAACAUGACAAAGACCAAGAUUAUUUUCUACCAGAUUCAUUAACUUACUUCACCUGAAUUAACUGGCUGUUUGUUGAACCAUCUCCUAUUUCCUAGCCAUUUAAACUUCAAAGUUCCUGGAGUUUGCAUGGUGUCUAAUCUGUCUGGAUGCCAUCUUUAUCUGAGAUUAAAUAGAGGUCUUUCCAAGAUUUUUUUUAAUCUCAUGAACCCAUGCCCAAGUAACAGUUUAAAAGAUUGCAUAAUGAUGUCAAAGAAAAUCUUGUAUGUCAAGACCAGGAAAGAUCCCUGGAAUGUGGACAGCUAGGGUUGAAGGGAGCAAGGAGGACAGAAACACCAUGGCUCACUCCUGUUUUUCACAGACAUUGGGCACAGGUAGGAGGUGACAGAAAUCCCAGUUGUAUUGGGAAUUUGACAGCCAGGCUUGCCACCUCACUCAGGUGACAGGCCUGAGAAAGUCUCACCAGAUUUCUUGCCACUCCUUGUGGCAUGACAGGGACAGAAUAAUUGCUGUGCAUUUGAGGCAUGAGAGUGUCCGAAGGAUCCUGCUCGCCUGAAUGAGUGUCCUGCUUGAAAAGGCCUUCAGUCAUGAAUAAGAGACAGCCCCGCAGUGGCAGACGUGGCCUCCUAUCCAGAAAUCAGUGUGGAAAAACCUCGCCCUAGCCUGAACUUGUGCAUGUUCUUGCUACAUGUGUAUAUGGGAUUAGAGCCAGAAAAUAUUAAGAAAGCAUUAUUGGAAAAUUUUGGUUUGGAAUCAUUUACUAGAGCAAGUGGAUUAGAAAAAAGGAGUUGGUAGUGACAGGAGGAGUGAGGUGGGAGUUGCGGUCGCCACAGACUCUCACCUCUGAACCCAGGAUACCAGUGAGAGUAGGGCAUGGCCUGUCCUCGCUGAUGGGAAAGGGUGGUCGCUGCUGCAAAAAACACAAGGACCCGUAUGCCUCCUCAUUCUCUAAAUCUUGCCUCCACAGCAGGGGAAUUACAGCCGCCCCAUUCCUACUCUAUGUAGUUUCUUUGCCGAAAACGGUCUAGUAAUAAUCAGGCUCCCUGCUGCAGAACUGCAGAGGGCAGCACCGAGCGCCUCAUUCCCUUAUGCGGAACUUGGAAGAAUUACUUUGUAUAACCUUAAAAUGUAUGUGGCGUGGCUUGAGUAGUUUUGCUGGAGACAAUUUAUUUAGCUCUUCAUUCUUCAGAGCGGACCUGUGAAUGUCCUUAUGUCUAGUGAAAGAUCGUAGUAGCCAACAAGUACCUUGUGUCGGGCACUGGUUAUUUCUUUCAUCCUAACAAUAAUGACACUGUGAGAUAACCUAUCAUUACUGUUCCCAUUUUACAGAUGAAGAAACUGGGGCAGGGAAGCUGUACAGCUGACCCCAUUCACAAAGCUGAUAAGUGGAGGAGCCAGCACUUAAAUCUAGGCAGUCUGGUUCUAGAACCAGUUCUCGUAACUGUUGUACUGCCUUUCAGACCAAUUUAUACAUUAUGACAAUUAUGCUAACAAAAUUUAAGGAAAUAGCAAAAUAUUAAUUUGCCUAUUGCUGAACAGAAAAAUUUAAGGCAGUUUUAAUAUUCUAGAGAAAAUAUAUUACUAAAAUAAUUCAAAAAGCACAGAUAUUGUUAAUAGAUCAAUAACCAAGAAAUACUUUAAAAUGUGACUAAAUAAAUUCCCAUCAAAAACUUUGAGCCUAGAGAAUUUGGGGUAUUGAGUUAUUUUAAAUUUCUGAGGAUGAGCCAGUUCCAGUGUUGUUACAAAACACUGAAAGAACAGAGGGCAAAUUAAAAGGCUUCUAAUGCAUUUCUUCAAGUUAGCACUAAAAUCUGAGAAAAAUACUAAAUAGAGGAUAAUCUCAUGACAGAUGCAAAAUAACUACAUAAAUAUAAUACAAAUAACACUGUAACAAAUUUAAUAGUAUAUUAAAAUAGUUGUUGUCACCACUAUGACUUAGCUUUGCUUUGGUAGUAUUUAAUAAACUCAAUGAAAUAGAACACAGAAGUAAUUGGCCUAACUAUUGGAAAAGUGGAGGCAAAAUUAUCAUUAUCAGCAUUCAAAAUGAUUGUCUUCCAUGGAAACCCAAAGAAAAUCAGUAGAAAAAUUACUAGGACUAAUAAAGAGACUUCAAUCAGGUAAUUUAACUUAAAAAGCUAAUAGUUUUCCUUAGGUAGUAGCAUAUUCAUGUUACAAGAAAAUUGUUAAAGACAAAAUACCUAGAAAAAAGUCUUGAGACCUGGAGAGUGAAAGGUAGAAAAAUUUAAACUUCACCGUGAUUCAUAAAAAGUUGUAUAAACAGAGCUAGCCAGGUUUCUGUAUGAGAAAAACAGCAAUAUAUCAGUCUUCCUGUACUGUAUCAUUGAGCCAACACUGCUCCAAUAAAAACUCAGUGGAAUUUACUUUUGGACCCGGCAAAAAUAAUUCCAGUAUCCAUCUGGAAGAACAAACAGGUGCGAAGAUGGGAAGAAGGUGAACAACAUGGGAAAUAUAUGAGGCACUAAAUGUUUCAUGAAGUUAGACUAUUAAAAUAAGAAACACUGGCGAUAAUCAAGGUAAAUCAGUGGAACAAAAUAAAUAGGCCUCCAACCCAAAAAUAUAUAGUUAAGAAAAUGCCAGAACCAAAAUUAAAAUACAAGCCCUACACCAAAAAGUGUUUGAAACAAAAAAAGGGAAAUGAAAUAAUGAUAAUAAAAAUGAAAUAGAGUUACUGUUCUUAAUAUAAAAAGUAAUCAUAGUAAAAGACAUCACAAAAUUCUCUAAGAAAUGAACAGGCGAAAGAUGGGCAUUGGUAAUUUGGGGAAAAUGAGAAGCAGAUAGCAAAUGAAUACAGUGUAUGCUGGUUGGGAGAAAUGGCAGAAUUAGUGUAAGACGUGGGCAGUACUGGGGCUCAUUUCUGUGCCACAACACCCAGGCAUUUUUACUUGGUGGUGAAGGGAAUAUUUUCAGAAAAUUCUUAAUAUACAUUGCUACAUUUUCUAUUUUAUGACAUAGAGACUGUUUAUUUCACCCCCAAAUCUGUUUUCCCAUCCCCCAUCUAGGACCAGGAUCAGCAGAGUUUUACCUGGCACAUGACUGCCCAGCUGGAGACUAUUGGCUCCUGUGCAAUGGGAGUGGCCAAGUGACAAAGUUCUUGCCAACGAUAGAGCUUCAGAACCACUGCUAGCAAAAAGAGAUCUGUUAAAAAUAGAGACUUACUCCCCAAACCCCUUUCAGGUAAGACUGAGGUGGACAUGCAGCCCGUGGCUGCAGGACUGACAGAGGAAUAAAACUCAGGAGGGUGGGCCUUGCUGUUCCUGGCCUCAAGACAUGGUGUAAGGCGUGGGACCAUUUGUUGUUACACUCUUGUUCUUUUUCCAAAUGUGGGAAUUCUGCCUGUCUUCAUUGUCGUAAACUGAUAUUUUGGGGUAUGGAAGAGUGUGUUUUCCAAAGAUGAUCACAAUAAUAUGUAUCCCAUCCUUCAAGCUUUUAUUAUGGUGCAAUGUUGACACAUAUUCAUUGAGAUGGCAGGGGGUCUGUGUUUUUUCUCUUUGGAUCUGGGAGAGCCUGUGACCGUGAAAAAAGUGACACUGUGACUUUUGAGGCUGCACAUAAAAAGAAUACAGUUACUGCCUGAACCACUUGAUACUCACCCUUGGAACCAAAUCACCAUACUUUGAGGAAGCUAAGUACCCUUAUGAGAAUCUGUGUAUCUGUAUCCCGGCCACCGUCUCAGCUGAGAGUCAAUAUCAACCAAAUGUUGGUGACUGAGUCCUCAGAUGAUGCCAGUCAUCAGCCUUCAAGCCUUUUUAGCUUGAAAGGAGUAGAGAUGACAUGCCCCCACCAAGCCCUUCCCAAAUUGCAGGCCUAUGAACAAAAUAAAUAUCAUUGUUUUAAACCAUGAAGUUUUGGAGUGGUUUUGUGACUCAACAAUAGAUAACCAGUACAUAGAGUGAUUAAACCUAUAAUUUAGUCAAAUGUUGCCAGACAUGACAAAGCACCUUGGACUAAGAAGAGUAUGCUUAAGAGCUCCUAGACAUACCAUUUACACAGUAGCUGGAUUUGAUUUUUUGUUCUCUGCCUCUGGGGAAGUGUAAGUGCAUUUUCGGUUGUAAGUGGGAUAAUUGUAUUUACUAUAUGAGGCAGAGGAAAUGUGGGAAUUGUUUGUGCAUGUCUAAUAUGAUGUUAUAACUGGAUCUUUCCUGUCUCUAUUUUGACAGAGGCACCAGUGAUCAACAUCAGAUUACCUAAAUGACAGUCUCCAACUUCAUACUGAUUUAUUCAACAUAGAAUGCCUAUUACAUGCCACUUGUUAUUCUGGGUGCUGGGGAUGAAGCAGUGAACGAAGCAGUUAAAAUUUUCUGCCCACAUGAAGCUUACAUAUGCAGAAUUAGAAAGGAACCAUCUCUAAAAACCUGUUCCUUAAGGAAUAUAAAAAGGAGUCAGGGUGUAGUAAAGAGGAAUUUGGUCAAGAGAUUUUAUUGGAGAGAGUUGUUGACGUGUGUUAAUCAGGAGAGGCUAAGUUAUGUUAGGAUGUUAGGAUGACGACUACUCAGAGAUGAACCAGAGGUGGGAUAUGUGUAGGAUGUCAUGAAUCUUGUCCAAUGAGGGCCAGUAAAUCUCAGCAGAGAAAGAAUGAAGAUGAAUGUACAUAGGCCUAAGGGUGUAGAACAAAAUGGUAGAAGAUCAUCUGGAAGAGUCAUCUGCCUGACUGGAUCAAGGGCAGUGUAAGAGAGAGAUAGUGUGUUAAGGAAUCUCUGAAGAGAGAAAGGGCAGGAUCAGAGAACACAAAGGAUGCACCCCUGUUCCCUCUACCUCCCUCCUUCCUUCCCCAUGGCAUGCCUCCAGAGAGAGCAGAUCCAAGCUUGGGAAGAAAAGAAUGUUCAAUGCUAUAUCAAGCUUAAGAUUUGGCUUAAUAUUUUGUACUGGGUGUCUAAUUUUUAAAUUGAAAUUGUGUUUACUAACAAUAACUGAAGAACUUUUAAUUUUUGCAAGUGAGUGACAACAAAAAUUAUGGACCUGUCCAAUAGUCUUUCAAGGUAAGGGAAGAUUACCUGAACUGAGUAAGUUUUGAAGCCAAAGUAAGGGACAAAACUUAAUUGUCACUGUGAUCACAAUCCUUAUGUCAUGCUUGUUCAACACACCCAGUUUACACCUAUGGGGUAAAGGGCAUGUUUUUCCUAGGUGGACAAUGGAUAGCUCUCCACUUCUACUGCUCUAUUACUGGUAAGAGAAUUCCAUUUCCUUAUGGGGAGUGAGUUAAAUGAGGAUCAUUCCACCUAUCUGUAAUCAUAAAAGUGGACACCUGUCCCAGCCUCAGUGAGAAUGAUAAGUAGCGCAUUUGAUCGAAUAACUUCAGGGAGGGUAAGGGCUGCAGCUUUCUGUUGGGAUUACUAAUCUGUGGGUGGCCAUUUUUUCCACAAUGUGGAAAGAGAGAGAGAGUGAGAACAAAUGAGCACAAGCCUACUUCACUAUAUCAUUUUGAUCCCAGACCCAGCUUUACCAUGAAAUAUCUCACUUAUUAAAGCAACUAAACUUCAGUUUUUACUUAAACUAGUUUGAGUUGUCUCUUGCAACAUAGUUUUGAACAACUCCUGUACUAUAUUUGAAGAGGAACCAAUAUAUAUGCCUCAUCAUUUGUAGUAUGUCUAUAAAACAAUGCUUCUUAGUCUUUAUGGGUCUUGGGUCCUUUAAAAUCUAAUGAAAUCCAAGGACCCCCCAUUUUUACACAUUAGCACAAUUAACUAUAGUAGAAUUUGAUUUUCUUCAUAUAGAUGACAAAGCAACAUGUCUAAAGAAUUCUAUCUUCCUAACAUUUUUUCAAAUAUUGAAAAUGAAAAAAAAAUAAGUUAAAAUGUAAAUUCAAGGAGAAGGAUACACUGCUUGGCUAGAAUGCAAAAUUGACACAGUGGAAUGGUUUUUGAUUCAUUCUUCUUUGGCAAGUCAGGAAUACUUGCUGCUCUCUACCUAUGAACAUGCAGAAGACAUCUUCAGUGUGGCUUGUGGUGCUUUUAGGUGUCUACAGAUUUCUGUUUAGAGUGAAAAUUUCGGAACUCUGUUAUUUUCAUCCGUAGCCUGAAGAAUUUUCUCCAGCACUAGACCAUCCUACAAGGUUGUCUGCUUUCAGUAUCUCUUUCCAGAGUGACAAUGUGUACCUAACAAUAAGUGUUUUUUUGUUUUCUUUUUUUGUUUUUUUGUUUUUCCCAUCAGUAUCUACAAUGUCAUGUCAAGGCCUCCAAUCAAACAAUUUACCUUAUUCAUGUGGCUGAAAAUAUCUGUCAAAUGACCAAUUCAUGAGUCAACUCUUCCCUGUCAAACUGAGCUGGAAUUUGGAUGUCACCAAAUUUCUAAGGUUCAUUUUGCUAUAGGAAAUAAGAUGAGUGUUUGGCAGUUAUUAUAUUCAUAUGUGGAUGACACCGGAGAUUUUCAGGGUUCUCUUUGACUACAGGCAUCACAGGUAAGAACCAUGGCCUACCCUUCUUUGUAGAAGACUCCCCAGAGCUGUGGUGAUAUCCUUGCUCGGCUUGUUAAACACCCAAUAAAGACAAACCGGAUGGACCGAGAUUCCACGGUUGUACCUACGCCCUAUGGUUGCAUAUUUGAAGGUUUAAGUUUGCUAAAUUGAUUGUUUUGCCUCUGUUAUUUAGCCUCAGGCAGAAGACAUGGACCUCCUUAUUCAUCAGGCCAAGCAAGCCUGGAAAAUUUUCCACCAAACCAGCCAGGAGACUCUGGGACACUGGUGGGAGCCAAGAGGGUCCAUCAGGCCUCAGUGGCCGUAGAGCGAGGCCAUCUGGUCCUAAAUGAAGCACCCACCGGCACUUGGGAAACUGAUAGUAGCCAAAACUUUCAUUAGCAACACUUCUGCAUGCAAAAAGUCCCUGCAGAACCAUAGUAUUCAUACUAUUCCAUCGUUACAGAUAACUUUUUAAAAUCAUAAAAAUAUUCUCAAACUCAUUAGCAUGUUUUCAAAAAUACAUAUAAGCUGCUUUAUUUUGUUAUGGGAAAUAUUUAUUGUUAUUUUCUGAUUUCUGCCAAUUAAAAUUUUCAAACAGCAUUAUUAUACGUGACUCCUCAAUGUUUAUUUGAAAUCUUUUCAUCUGCAUGCAGUUUUCUAUAUACUUUCAGUAUUUUUUUCUUGAACGAUUGCCAUUUAUUUUCCCAUAGAAUUUACUGAAAUGUGAGCCCCUAUAUUUUUGCUGGAUGAACAAACCACAUCAGUUUAAAAUAGAGAUCAUGCAUAUUGCCUAUAUAUGAUUUAAAACACUUUUUCCUCCACAGACUUGUGUUUGUCACACGUUCACUUCUCGUUCUGGGAAGGUCUGAGGCAGCUGGGUGUUGCCACUUUUGAACAGUUGGUGGCUCUAGUGCUUUGCAACCGUCUUGUGAGUCCAGAGGCCCCAAACAAAGCUGCUGUUAUCAUCUGGAUUGUGAAGAGCAUGGCCUCUCGAGUCAAACCCACUGAUUUGAGUCCUGGCUCCACCACUAAUUGGUCGGGUGAUCUCGGGCCAAUUAUAUAUCCUUGUGCUUUAGUUGACAUCUAAAAACUGCAGAAAAUUAUAAUACCUGCCUCAUGAAUUCUGGUGAAGAUUGGCAAGAUAUGUUAAUACCAGACGUCUAACACACCAUAAACAUGAACUUGCAUAUGUCUUAGCUCAAUACUUCGAUCCUGUAAAACAUAUUGGUAUUCUCUUAUCAAUCCUACAAUAUUUAAUAACAUAAAAUAACUUGACACUAGACCUUUAUUUAUUUUUUAGUGUAGAGUGAGAAAUUUCAUUGGAAGAUGCCUCCUAUUGACACAAUUAAGUCAAUAAAAUAAGGGUCUAGGUUAGUUUUUAUCAGAUAGGAUCUUCUGAAUAUUUCACAAGGGAAGUGCCAAGCAAGCACAGUGACUGAGGUUCAUGGCCCUGAACAGCAUUUUGGAACAUAUGGCUUCAACCCAAAUACAAGAUUUUCUCAUUUCUCCCCUGUGCUGCUUAUUCCUUAUUAUAUAGGAUCGAUUCUGUUGCUAAAGAAUGCAAAAACUCAUCUUUUCAAGUGCAAUUCUUCUGUACAUCCACACAGCAUAUCUACCGUGUAAUUAUGGCGUGUUAGGUAUACAGUUGUUACAUCGGUAUUACUUAGAGAAAAUGAAGCAUUUAAAAUGUUUGAGGACAGUAGAUUGGUUCUGGGUCUUGGUGAAUAAACUUGACUUGCUACUUAAACACAGAGAAAUGAAAUAUGCUUUUCAAAGUAGUCAAGAAUGUUUAUUACUUCCUCAACUGGAGAUUGAAGUUAAAAAAAAUUUAGAACACCCAAAAAAAAAGAAGUCAUCUCUGCCAUCUGCUAUAGUCUAAUCCAGGAAUAAUGAUCUAGGGAGGACUAGGAAACAAAAGCCAGUAAAUUGGUAACAAUUCCAAAAACACCUACUAGAAAAAUAUUUGUGCAAUGGUUAGUAUCUUAGAUUUUUCAAUUGAUAAGUAUUUACCAUCUGCGGCCACAACUGUUAGGUCUAUUUCUGGACAGUAAGAAUGUGGAGUAAGUCAGGAACUAGAAACAUAAAAGAUAUCAUGUGGAAUAACUUAAGAUGAAAUUGUACAGUCAGAAUAUGCUGUAUUUGUAUUUUAAUUCUCUCUCCUUAAAAUAUUCAUGAAUAGAUUAUAUCUCCACAGUCAAUAAAUACUUAUUGUGUGCCUGAUAUGUAGGUCUUUUAACUAACUUUAUUUUCUUACUAUAUGUUUGGAUCUCUUUUAUAGUUAACUACCAUGUUCUUUGAAGGGACUGACUUUCACAAUGUAGCUCACAGAGGUCUCUGCAGAACGGAUAGGCUAUGGGAAGUCACAGCUUGUUUUAGGCUGAAGGUGGUAAGAAUGAUGAAGAGUAAAUCCCAGAAAAUUUCCGAAUGGAGAAUUGAUGAUAUAAUGAUUGAUUACACACAUGCAUGUGGAUGCUAAAAGAGAAAGGAAUCUCAAUGACAUAAUCCAAUAAGAUGAUAGUGAUUCAGUCUGAAAUGUUGUGAUGAAAGGUAGUAAAACUGGGGUCCUUGGAUAAAAUGGUUUUCUUUUUCUUAAUGAUGACAGAUUAUUAUUUGGAGGAGUGGAAAGCUGAUGGAUUCAGUUCUUGUAGAGGUUUCUAGGGAAGUGAAGCAGGCAGGCAGUUAAGGAUGAGCAGACAUAUUGUAAGCAGAAAACAGAGCCAAGACAUUGUUUGAUGGCAAACAUUUUGUUAUGAGCCAUAAAUAGUUGGCUAUAGAGCUCCUCGCAACAGAACUCCAUGGCCUGCAAGGGCAGACAAAUUCUGUGUGCAUAUUAAAAGUUUAUUUGAUCCAUGUUUUCUGCUUCUAAUUAAAAUCUCAUGGUAAGAAAAAAAGUUUUAACUUUAACCAUAAAUGUCUAGAUGCUUUUACUGGGCAGACACUGCUGCAAUUUUUACUUUGAGUUUUGCAGAUUAACCAGAGAGGUAAAUAAGAGUGAAAAUAUUAAAGUGAGUUUUCUUUGAUGAAAUUUAAAAAAAUUACCAGAUACACUCCUUUAUCCAGGGCAUCAGUAGUUGUGAGAAUCGGAAAUGUAAAAAAGAGGAAGCCCUAGACUUCCGUGGCCCAAGUUGAUUCUCUUUCUUUAUGCUUCAGUGAAAAUUAGCUAAAACCAACAAAUAAUCUCAGCUUUCCAUAUUUCUACUUCUGUUUUACUUAAUUUCUUUAAGACUGUGUGUGUAUGUUGUUGUGUAAGUAAGUGUGUGUUUCCCUGUCAAAUGUUUCUCUCUUAAGUGAUCCUCAGCUACAGCAGCUCGAGUUUCCAAUGCGUGUUAGCAGGACUUAAAACAAAAUACUCAUUUUUAAACUUUCUGACUCAUAUUCUAAACCAGUCACAUUCCCCUUGUACUAAACGCUUCGAGGAUACAAAAGUGAACUCUUAUUGAUUCUGUACAUAAGGACUGCACUGUAGAGGAGGUGAUAAAUCCCACUAUCACCAAUAGCUAGCUGAUACGUGCUACACAAGAGGAGCAAAUGAUGUGAUGUGAGAAUCGAGGCAGGGCUCAUUGCUUCCAGACAAGGUAGACUGGUUUCAUGAUCAAUGAGUAUAAUCUGAGACAUGUUUAGGACCUGGGAAUACAGGUCUGGGAACCAAGAGCUUAGUCAAAGACACAAAGGUGGGAAAAGGAAGUGAUUCCUUUUCCCUUGAAUGAAGUACCUACAAAAGGGAACAGUGGAAACAACUCUGAAGAGGUAGGUUGGGAGUCAGCUCAAGAAGGUCUGGGAGGUUACGUAAUGGACAAGUGUGUCACCGAGGCAUCUUAUGAGCAGAGUGAGUGUUGGGGCAAUGGUCAAGAGCACAGGCAGAUCAGACAGUCCUGUGUUCCAGAUCUGGUUCUUCCGCUCACUGGCUUGGUCACCUCAUCAAGUUACUUAACCUCUCUGAGCCUUGAUUAUUUGCAUCUGGAAUUAUAAUUGUACCUAUAGGCUAUAAUGUGGAUUAAAUUAAAAAUGAGGUUAAACACCCAGCCCCUGACAUAUAGUAGGUGAUAAAAAAAAAAAAGUUACUGCUAAUAGUAAUGCUAUUAAUUAUAAUAAUAAGAUAGUCUUGGCUUUUGCAUUAUGUGAAAUUAUUUUAAUUCCUGAAGUACCCAAGUCAGAGGCAAAACCACUCACUGCCAUUCUAUUGCAGAGCUAGGCUUAUUUUCUAUUUUAUUACUAAGAUUGCCAGUUUUGUUUUGAUCUAUAUAUAUUUUGGUGCUGCGUUUAUAUACUU
Long non-coding RNA from Mirounga angustirostris (Northern elephant seal), 23573 nucleotides. RefSeq lists it as uncharacterized. Lineage: Eukaryota; Metazoa; Chordata; Mammalia; Carnivora; Phocidae. The record is from RefSeq and is a predicted model, not a curated record. The transcript is spliced from 5 exons.